UGCCUCCCCCUCGUGUUCACUGGCUGCAGUCCUGCAGGGUGGGCCCUACUCAACCUGCCAUUGGCUGCGGGACAGAUAGUUUGCAUACGGGGCGGGGCAACUGGGCCCGAUUGGGGCCCGCCUUGGGUGUGAGAGUGGCCACCGCCGCCGCUGAAGUUGAUUCAAGAGCUGGCGAUGGCCCCACACCGGGGUCACAGGUGAAACAGGAGGGUUACAAGGGUUCAAGGCUGUGCAGUCCCGAGAACAGUCACCGUCGAAGGCAUCCAAAGCAUCUCUGGGCAGGCACAGGUGUGAACUUAAGCCAACAGGACCAAUGCCUACAGGACCCACUUCCCCAGGGCCACCUCUGGAACUUCCUUCAGGAAGACAGCGGCAGUCUGAGUGAUCCUGCCUGUUUCUGCCUCUUCAGUGAUGAGGGAGUCAGUACCAUGUAUAUCUCUUUGUGGACUCUGGGACAAGCCUCUCCCACGGACACUCCUGCUAGGUGUUCUCAAGUCCAUCUGAAUGUGGAAAAGGAUAUCUAGGGAAGCUAUAGGCUACAGGGGCUAGGACAUUUGUAGCAGAUCUGGUCCCUGGAGAUAGAGGGGUUUAGUCCAGACCUUUCCAGACUGAUGCUGGCCUGUUUUGUCACCACAGUGGUGUCAAACUCAGAGUGUUGUGCAGAUGAGGGGAGGUUUAUGUGGCCUCUGGGUUGAGAAACUGCAAGGCUGACUCUCAUUGCUGGACAGCUGCUUUCAGGGCAGAGCCUCUGAACUAGGCUUCUCCCACUUCUGUACUGGAAAUGAACAAGGCCACCGAGACUCGGAGACCGCCUAGCAGUGUGGCCCUGACUUCUGGUUGGAUUGCCCAGAGGAGACUGCCUACCCCACACUGAUAGCUGGUAAGGUCCUAACAUCACCCAUGUCACUUCAGCAUACCUCACACUAUUGUUUCCAAAGUAAAGUUGCAAGUUCCAAAGUAAACUUUUCAUUAACCCA
Molecule: long non-coding RNA, 977 nt
Organism: Mesocricetus auratus (golden hamster)
Lineage: Eukaryota; Metazoa; Chordata; Mammalia; Rodentia; Cricetidae
Exons: 2
Source: RefSeq, a predicted model, not a curated record